RNAcentral lists this ribosomal RNA (392 nucleotides) under uncultured bacterium. Its description in RNAcentral is "bacterial SSU rRNA". It matches the Rfam family "Bacterial small subunit ribosomal RNA", at positions 28 to 410 of the family's 1533-position model. The record is from RNAcentral.
GAUGAACGCUAGCUACAGGCUUAACACAUGCAAGUCGAGGGGCAGCAUGGUCUUAGCUUGCUAAGACUGAUGGCGACCGGCGCACGGGUGAGUAACACGUAUCCAACCUUCCGUUUACUCAGGGAUAGCCUUUCGAAAGAAAGAUUAAUACCUGAUAGUAUGGUGAGAUUGCAUGAUAGCACCAUUAAAGAUUUAUUGGUAAACGAUGGGGAUGCGUUCCAUUAGGUAGUAGGCGGGGUAACGGCCCACCUAGCCGACGAUGGAUAGGGGUUCUGAGAGGAAGGUCCCCCACAUUGGAACUGAGACACGGUCCAAACUCCUACGGGAGGCAGCAGUGAGGAAUAAUUGGUCAAUGGGCGAGAGCCUGAACCAGCCAAGUAGCGUGAAGGAUG